This 1031-nucleotide long non-coding RNA is filed under the name Urocitellus parryii (Arctic ground squirrel). RNAcentral describes it as "lncRNA (ENSUPAG00010010608.1)". The record is from RNAcentral. Lineage: Eukaryota; Metazoa; Chordata; Mammalia; Rodentia; Sciuridae.
GGUCAGCUGCAUUUGGGUUUUUGUCUUUAUUUCCAUUACUCAGAACAGCCAGUCGUGACAGCCAUCCUUGGCUCCCAGGCAGUGAGGGACAAGGCUCUUCCUUGACCCAGAGGCAUGGCAGAGGAAUAACAGCUGGGUCAUCAGAGCCUGACUCCUGGGACCCUCUUCACACGGAAACCACAAACCAGGAUAAAGUCUUUGGGAGCUGCAAGGAUGAGCCAGCUGCGCUGGAGCAGCAAGUAGACCACCCUGCCCCUGGGAGGACCCAGGCGUGGGCAUCCCUGGCUGGAUGGGCCGGAGAUGCUCCACCAGCCACAGCUGGAGCGUCUGCGGGCCAAGCGUGCSGCUCGACGCCCGUGUCUAGAAUGUCACCAGAGCUUCCUCCUCUGUGUCCUGGACGGGAUCCAGGGCUCCCGAAGAAGCUGCGGUUGGGCAGCCCGGGCAGGGCUGGGCUGCUGCUCGCGCUGCGGACGCGGGCCACGCCCUCUUGGACGCGACCACGCCUCCAUCUCCCGGGGCCCACGGAGCCACGCCCGGCCCUGCAGCCAAACAGCAGGAAGGCAGAUUUGUACGAGCCUCCCCCAGUUCCCAGGCCCUGGUGGAGAAACCUUGUGAAAGCCCAGCCCAGGAAGGGAAUUCAUCAAGCCACCUCCAGACACAGCCUCUCCUUUGGCUUCACUCUUGGCCUUCCAGCUGUCACGUGGGCAGCUCAGCGUGGGCAAAGUCCAGGAGCUGAUGUCACUUAUGUGUGAGAAGAAAUAUGGGUCUCAUAUCCUUAAAAUAGCCUGUUGCUGCCCUCCCCGUGUCAUCGAAGACUCAAACACCUUCCUCAUCCUGCUCCAGCUCUGACUCAUGGACUCCCUCACAGCACUAUGCAGAGGCCUCCAAACCCUCAUCCUGCACAGAGCUGAUCUUCUGGAAAGAUGUCCUCCUCACCUCUCAGCUUGCAAACCAUCCUGGACCACUGUCUCUACCUCCCCUGCUCAGUCCCACCUAAUAAAAUCUGAAUUGUUCAAGAGAGAAAAAAGAAG